UGCGUAGGCGGUCCGAUAAGUCUGAUGUGAAAGCCCUGGGCCCAACUCAGGAACUGCAUUGGAAACUGACGGACUGGAGUACCGGAGAGGGAAGCGGAAUUCCUGGUGUAGCGGUGAAAUGCGUAGAUACCAGGAGGAACACCGGUGGCGAAAGCGGUUUCCUGGCCGAGUACUGACGCUGAGGCACGAAAGCGUGGGGAGCGAACGG
RNAcentral lists this ribosomal RNA (208 nucleotides) under uncultured bacterium. RNAcentral's name for it is "partial 16S ribosomal RNA". It matches the Rfam family "Bacterial small subunit ribosomal RNA", at positions 568 to 775 of the family's 1533-position model. The record is from RNAcentral.